UGAUGUCAGGGACAAAAAGUACAGAGCCGUUUGUGCUUGCACAAAAAGGCUUUGUACUUUGGGUCCCGCAAAACACGAGCAAGUAGCGUUGUUACGCGGAUUGCGAGUGUUUUAGAAUUGCGAGAGCCGCCCAGCGGCGAAGCAAUUCGUGACAUCA
Molecule: small RNA, 157 nt
Filed under: Lachnospiraceae bacterium
Lineage: Bacteria; Bacillati; Bacillota; Clostridia; Lachnospirales; Lachnospiraceae
Description: Clostridiales-1 RNA
Rfam family: Clostridiales-1 RNA
Source: Rfam by way of RNAcentral